AGCGAACGCUGGCGGCAGGCUUAACACAUGCAAGUCGAACGGGCUUCUUCGGACGUCCGUGGCAGACGGGUGAGUAACACGUGGUAACGUGCCCUUCGGUUCGGAAUAACUCAGGGAAUCUUGAGCUAAUACCGGAUACGCCCUUUUGGGGAAAGGUUUACUGCCGAAGGAUCGGCCCGCGUCUGAUUAGCUUGUUGGUGGGGUAACGGCCUACCAAGGCGACGAUCAGUAGCUGGUCUGAGAGGAUGAUCAGCCACACUGGGACUGAGACACGGCCCAGACUCCUACGGGAGGCAGCAGUGGGGAAUAUUGGACAAUGGGCGCAAGCCUGAUCCAGCCAUGCCGCGUGAGUGAUGAAGGCCUUAGGGUGGUAGAGCUCGUUUGUCCGGGACGAUAAUGACGGUACCGGAAGAAUAAGCCCCGGCUAACUUCGUG
This 435-nucleotide ribosomal RNA is filed under the name uncultured bacterium. RNAcentral's name for it is "partial 16S ribosomal RNA". It matches the Rfam family "Bacterial small subunit ribosomal RNA", at positions 29 to 507 of the family's 1533-position model. The record is from RNAcentral.